AAUGGGUCAGCGACUUAUAUUCUGUAGCAAGGUUAACCGUAUAGGGGAGCCGAAGGGAAACCGAGUCUUAACUGGGCGUUAAGUUGCAGGGUAUAGACCCGAAACCCGGUGAUCUAGCCAUGGGCAGGUUGAAGGUUGGGUAACACUAACUGGAGGACCGAACCGACUAAUGUUGAAAAAUUAGCGGAUGACCUGUGGCUGGGGGUGAAAGGCCAAUCAAACCGGGAGAUAGCUGGUUCUCCCCGAAAGCUAUUUAGGUAGCGCCUCGUGAACUCAUCUUCGGGGGUAGAGCACUGUUUCGGCUAGGGGGCCAUCCCGGCUUACCAACCCGAUGCAAACUACGAAUACCGAAGAAUGUUAUCACGGGAGACACACGGCGGGUGCUAACGUCCGUCGUGAAGAGGGAAACAACCCAGACCGCCAGCUAAGGUCCCAAAGUCAUGGUUAAGUGGGAAACGAUGUGGGAAGGCACAGACAGCCAGGAUGUUGGCUUAGAAGCAGCCAUCAUUUAAAGAAAGCGUAAUAGCUCACUGGUCGAGUCGGCCUGCGCGGAAGAUGUAACGGGGCUAAACCAUGCACCGAAGCUGCGGCAGCGACACUAUGUGUUGUUGGGUAGGGGAGCGUUCUGUAAGCCGUUGAAGGUGUGCUGUGAGGCAUGCUGGAGGUAUCAGAAGUGCGAAUGCUGACAUAAGUAACGAUAAAGCGGGUGAAAAGCCCGCUCGCCGGAAGACCAAGGGUUCCUGUCCAACGUUAAUCGGGGCAGGGUGAGUCGACCCCUAAGGCGAGGCCGAAAGGCGUAGUCGAUGGGAAACAGGUUAAUAUUCCUGUACUUGGUGUUACUGCGAAGGGGGGACGGAGAAGGCUAUGUCAGCCGGGCGACGGUUGUCCCGGUUUAAGCAUGUAGGCGGAGGUUCCAGGUAAAUCCGGUAC
This 930-nucleotide ribosomal RNA is filed under the name Enterobacter hormaechei. Its description in RNAcentral is "partial 23S ribosomal RNA". It matches the Rfam family "Bacterial large subunit ribosomal RNA", at positions 614 to 1548 of the family's 2925-position model. The record is from RNAcentral. Lineage: Bacteria; Pseudomonadati; Pseudomonadota; Gammaproteobacteria; Enterobacterales; Enterobacteriaceae. RNAcentral also lists the same sequence under 1 other name.